This 74-nucleotide transfer RNA is filed under the name Chloroflexota bacterium. RNAcentral describes it as "Chloroflexi bacterium tRNA-Gln". It matches the Rfam family "tRNA". From Rfam's summary of the family: Transfer RNA (tRNA) molecules are approximately 80 nucleotides in length. Their secondary structure includes four short double-helical elements and three loops (D, anti-codon, and T loops). The record is from RNAcentral. Lineage: Bacteria; Bacillati; Chloroflexota.
UCGGGUGUCGUCUAACGGUAGGACAGCAGCCUUUGGAGCUGUUUAUCGGGGUUCGAAUCCCUGCGCCCGAGCCG